UUGAUCCCUUCUGCAGUCUCACUCUGUUUUGCUCUGCAGCCUCCAACACUCGGCUUCUGCUAAAAUGGGGAAGGACAGGAGGUGCAAUCGUAGCUUCGGGUCCAUCCAUCUGGAAGAAAAGGUAUACUGUCAGUUUUGAACAUUGAAUGCCGAUGGUUGCUGAGAAUGCUGUGGGGAGAUGAACAAAUGGAGAUUUUUGGGUCAUGGAUUUGGGAAUGAACUCUGGACCUUAAAGGAACAGAUGAGAGGAGGAAUGGAGAGAAGAGAAGGAUUUCUCCCAUGUUCUUAGAUCAAUUUCCUCAUGGAGUGAAAAAAGAUAGAUGAAGAUUGUGACGUACAACGUGAACGGCCUAAGGCCGCGCAUCUGUCAAUUCGGCUCUCUUCUAAAACUACUCAACUCACUUGAAGCUGACAUAAUCUGCUUUCAGGAAACAAAAGUAGCUAGACAGGACAUGACAACAGAUUUGAUUACCGCCGAGGGAUAUGAAUCAUUUUUUUCUUGCACCCGUACUUCCGACAAGGGACGCGUAGGCUAUUCCGGUGUUGCAACAUUUUGCCGUGUAAAUUCAGCAUUUUCGAGCAAUGAAGUCACUUUACCACUUUCAGCAGAAGAAGGUUUCACUGGUCUUCUUGAAAAUUUUCAAAGAGGGGUUGGCAGUAAAGAGGAUGAAAUGCCUGCAAAAGUGGAAGGCCUACAAGGGAUGACAAAAGGGGACCUUCUGAAAGUUGACAGCGAGGGACGUUGUAUCAUAACAGAUCAUGGCCAUUUUAUUCUUUUCAAUAUAUAUGGCCCUCGUGCUCAGUGUGAUGAUGCAGAAAGACUUCAGUUUAAGCGCACCUUUUUCAAUAUAUUACAGAAAAGAUGGGAGUAUCUCCUAAGACAGGGAAAGAGGAUCGUUGUUGUUGGGGAUCUCAACAUUGCUCCUGCCGCAAUAGAUUCCUGUAAUGCAGGCCCAGAUUUUGCACAGAAUGAGUUCCGGAGAUGGCUUAGAUCUAUGUUAGUGGAACAAGGGGGGCCUUUUCUUGAUGUUUUCAGAGUAAAGCAUCCUGAACGUAAAGAAGCAUACACAUGCUGGCCACAGUGUACCGGAGCUGAAGAAUUUAACUAUGGGUCUAGGAUUGACCAUAUCCUCAUUGCUGGAUCGUGCUUGCAUCAAGAUCACAACAUGGAAAGCCAUAACUUAAUAGAUUGCCAUAUUAAUAAAUGUGACAUAAUGACGAAGUUUAAGCGCUGGAAGUCUGAGAAUAUGCCCAGGUGGAAAGGAGGGAGAAACACUAAAUUGGAAGGUUCUGAUCAUGCUCCUGUUUACAUCAGUUUAAAGGAAAUACCCAAUCUUCCGCAGCACAACACUCCAUCUUUAUCUGCUAGAUAUGUUCCUGGGGUCCAUGGUUUCCAGCAAACUAUUGUUUCAUUGCUCAUGAAAAGACAAAUAUCUGAGGAACUCAAGAAGAAUGGAACAUCACAAUUAUUCUCAGAUGAAAACAUUGUAGUGGGCAGUUGCAGUGCGAGUGUAAAAAGAUCAAUGGAUUCAGAGGAAAAAAAUUCUGAUGUCAACCCUCAAUGUGAAGGUUCCAACCCAAGCAUGAUGAAACAUUUGGGUGGUUCUGCUAAUCAGGGUUCAGCGAAUACUAAGUUUUCAUUGAGAAACAAAACUGCAUCUGGCCAGUGCAUGGAAGCCAAGAAAAAAGUGAGACAUAAUGCUUGUUCUCAACGCACUUUAAGUUCUUUUUUCCAGAAACAGUCUUCCCAUGGUAAUAAUGUUGUUAGUGAAAGCACUGGCACUUCACUUAGUCAAGUUGAUGUCUCGGAAGGGAAGACCGAUUCUCCUCAUUUAACCAAAGAGAGAAAUUUCCCUAGAGAAUCUCAGAAAGUUAAAGAGUCAAAUUCCCCCCAAAAAUCUGAGAUCAAAGAGAUGGAUUCUCCCGAAGAAACUCUGGAGGUCAAAGAGAGUGUUUACCCCGCAGAAACUCAGGAGGGUAAUGAAAGCAAAUUUUGCAAGAUGUACGAGGUCAGCAUGAUUCCAUCCAGAGAGUCUCAAGGUGAUGAUAAUGCCUGUGGUCCUUCUGAAAGUGAGAAAAAUGAUGCUGCUUUGUCGGAGUGGCGAAGAAUUCAACAGUUCAUGCAGAACAGCGUACCUCUGUGCAAGGGCCAUAAUGAACCAUGUGUUGCUCGGGUCGUGAAGAAAGCAGGUCCGAAUUUGGGUCGUAGGUUUUAUGUCUGUGCUCGGGCUGAGGGACCCCCAUCAAAUCCAGAAGCACGCUGUGAUUAUUUCAAGUGGGCCAAUUCAAAAUCUGUGAAGAAAUGAAGAGGUAUGCUGUUGAUGAAGAUCAUCUGACAUUCUUCAAUGCAAUACAUUUAGUACAGGCAUUCAUGGAGCUUCUUCUCAGUAUAGAUCUGGGACCUGCAUCUAAUCCAGAAGCAAAUUGCGGUUACUUCAAAUGGGCUGUUCUAAAAUCUCAGAAGAAAUGAAGACUGCAAAAUCUAGGGGGUGGUGAUCUUGUAACUCGAUUAAUGUAUAUAGUGGAACUGGUGGUGCAGUUGGUCUACAUCGAUGUAUUUAUGUGUUUUCUGAUGUCCGGCUGAUGGUAAACUGCCGCACCUCAUUGUUGUGGUGCACUAUUAGCUAAUUGAAAGGUGAAGCUCUCUUCUAGGUCU
This is an RNA transcript of Macadamia integrifolia, 2656 nucleotides long. It is a transcript of the gene named DNA-(apurinic or apyrimidinic site) endonuclease 2, with no coding region annotated. The record is from RefSeq and is a predicted model, not a curated record. Lineage: Eukaryota; Viridiplantae; Streptophyta; Magnoliopsida; Proteales; Proteaceae. The transcript has 12 exons.